RNAcentral lists this ribosomal RNA (114 nucleotides) under Crocodylus porosus (Australian saltwater crocodile). Lineage: Eukaryota; Metazoa; Chordata; Crocodylia; Crocodylidae. The record is from RNAcentral.
AGCUAUGUUGGACUGAAUGCACCUGACCUUUACGUGAUCUUAGAAGCUAAACAAUAUUAUAUCUGACUAUUACUUGGAUGGGAGACCAUCUUGCAAGCCCAAGGUCUGUAGUUA